GCGCGCAGGGAGACCAUGGCCUGAAUGCUUAAGGAUGGAUGCAUGAGGUCAUCCAUGGGAGACCUUUUUGUACUCCCCAUCCUAACUGAUGUGAUAGAAAAGCCAGAAGACGGUUAAACCCUAGCAGAUUGGAUGGGUACAGUAAAAUGUUGGAAAGAAAAAAAGUUUUAAAUGGAAAUGAUCUGCCAGGUAGUGUUCUGUCCCCACAGGAUUCAGCCAUUAAGCCAGGCGACCAGAUCCUGAUAAAGGUCGUUAAAAGAAAGAACUGGUCCCAUCCCCGGUGGAAAGGCCCCCACGCUGCCCUACUCACCACGCCCACUGCAGCAAGAUAGGUGAAUGUGCCACGUGGAUCCACCAGAGUGACUACAAAAGAGUCAUUCCCCUGGUCGGCACUUGUAAUAGGAAAAAUAGUUUCUUCCUUAUUCUAUGCGGUAGUCACAUGAUUAAUGACUUGUGUUCUGCAAUUAAUAUCUUCUGUUUUAUGUAUUUGACAUUUCAUCUAGAUUGUUCAAUGCUUGUCUCUGCCUGAUAGACUCUGGACUCUGGCUCCCAAACCCAAGGCCAGGAGUUGUGUCUCUCUGUUGAGACUUAGCGCUCCUUCCUCCCUGAUAGUAGGAUGCCAGUGAUGCAGAUGUGAGAAUGUAAACAUCUCCACACACACGGCGACAGGGAUGAGAUAGUGCAUGCAAUUUGAAUGGGCUACACAGACAUUCCACCCUAGUCAGACAGAGGGAUUAAAAGGCAGAUGCAACUUGAGGAUUUUAGGCUCUUUGCAUCACACCUUUGUGGUGUGUGCACUGAUCUCCCCAGCUGUUUUUUGGUUUGUUGGUGUGCACAAUUAACAUCCAUAAUUUGGAUUUGCUUUUCCCUUUAUUUUUAUAAUAAAUCACACAAAAGACAACUAUUUCAUCUGUUUGUUUAUGGGAAAUUUGGUCACAGAACAGUAUUCGCUGCAGGUCGUCUGGACAGUGUGACCAGGGAGGACAGUCCUGAGGACUAGGGUCGCUCAGCCUCCAAACACUCUACAGACAUUCAGAAUACUCUCAAAAUCAAAAUACUUUGGGAAAGACUCUGUUGCCAGACCUGGUUGGUUCCCUUUUUACAGAGACGUCUGAUAAAAGGGAAUUCUGGGAAUGUUCCUGUCGGAACACAAAAAAAAUCUAAGGCAAGAACCUGCCGAACUUGGUUUGAGACAAUGUGAGUCUUCACCACCAGACAGCAACCUUACAAAAUUCAUGAUGAGUAAAUACUGUAUGGUUAUUAGUGCGUUUCAUAUUUCCAUGUGUGGGAAACUGGUUAUGGUUUUCAAAAGGAGAAUUGCUUAAUGGUUGGAAACAAUCUAACGCUACUGUUCAACAGGACGAAGCAGAUUGUUGAGACAUCAAUUGUAACCAUGCUGUGUUAGACUUCAUUUUAUGUUACUCUGAUUAUUACCUUGAUUAUAUGAUGUUUCCAUGUAACUUUACACACUACAUAUGAAGAAGAAAAUUUCACAACACUUCAAAUAUUCUCAAGGUUACUUGAUGUUUAAUUAGCUCACAAUCACUUUACUCACUGCGACACUUUAGUUUUUAUCCUUCAUUUACAAAUUGCUGUGGGGAAAAAAAUACCAUGAGAGCUUCUGAUGACUCAAUGAAAAGAAUUCAAAAAGUUGUCUUUGUGAAUUUAUUCCUGCAUAUGCGUAUAGGGAAAAGAAAAAUAAAAUCAAAAGGUGACAGAAAACAAAGGCACCCAGGUGGAGAAGACAAGUUGAUGCUCACACAAGGUGCUCACCAAUGUUCUCUGAAAUCUUCACCUCCCGUCCCAAGUUUUAAAGCUUACAGAUAGCACAAACACCUCCCACAACAUUCUUUAGACACACAUGCUCAAUUUCAGGAAAAAUAUUACACGUCCAUCAAUAGUAUUUAGACGGUUGUCUAAAUAAGGAAGGCCUCACUCAAGGAGCAUUUUGUUCCUUAUCUAAGUGAAACACUACGUCACAGGGUCAUCAAGUCAGACACUGUCUCACAGGGUGAUCAAAUCAUAACUGGGCUUCCUGCAAAAGAGAACUGAGGAGCCCGCCCACGUUCAGAAGCUUGCAGCAAAAUACUUGAAUAAUGUAUAUAAUGUUUAAGGAUGUGAAUGAUCAACAUUUAAGAAUAUGAAUGUGAAUCAGAACCACUCAGAUGAUUAUAAAGGCAUUAAUAAUAAAAAUGAUCAACAUUAAUAGAUAAUAUAAAAUUUCCAUCACAAGAUGAUAGAGGUUAUAGGACAACACAAGCAGCAAUAUGCAUCAUUAUUCUGGUUAAUCCCUGAUUCUCCUAUUCACUCUAGACCCAGAUGUACAAUUCAAGAUCCAAAAGCAUGAAUCUUGAUGAGUUAAUACACUUGAUGCUUUAUUUGCAAGGGGGCUUUUUUUAUUUUGAAAUGCUAUGUUUGACAAUUUUUAUUCUUUUAGUGUUGAUUAAUGUGUAAUCAAAAGGGGGGUAAUGUAAUGGGAAAAAUUGUGGGAAUCUUAAAACCGGACCAGGAGGUGGUUGACGACACUGGUUAAGGACUGGAUAUGGAAAGACCUUGAAGCUGAGCAUGUUACAGACUACUGUGAUUAGCUACAUGUUAUUACAGAUUUUUGACCCCACAUGUCACUCACAAGGCUGAUUUAUUGUUUCUUACUUAUUGCCAUUAUGAAGGAUAUAUCUGUUCAAUGUUUUAAUCCUGUCAGUAACAGGAACAUGUUAAACUUUGCUGAAGCUGCACCCUGCACACAGAUAUAGAAACAGGAAGUGGCUUGGGCCUGCUGACUUAUUUAGAGUAAGCUGGAAAGGCCAGGGAAGGUUAGCAGUUUUAGGGUUGAACAGGAGCCUGUUUCAAGAAGGAGGUUUCACAAACUCUGAGUUUAAACUUAACUCUGAGUUGACUUACACUGAGUUUGCAAACCUGGAGUUAUCGGUUUCAGAACAGCUGAGAAGAGUUUGUUUAAGCGAGUUGACUGACUCAGAGUUAAGCGCGUGCACCACGACUAUAAAAAGCCCUGAUCAAUGGAGUGAAGAUAUAACAAGUCACCAUGGCAACAGGACAACAAAAGACGUCCGGAAAUGGAUAUGAUACUUCAAGCAAAUAGCGACUACGAGCCUAUAUUUAGUAGAAAAAGCAACAUGGCUGCAGCGGCGAAAGAGAAAGAAUUAGCUUGGAAGAAAAUAGCUCCUCGAGUCAAUGCCCAACAGAAAGAAGGCAGAGGCAAGAACAACUGGUGGAGGACCUGCACCUCCACCACUGACGCAUGCAGAGGAGAAGGCCCUCAGCCUGAACACUGGAAAGCAGAGGCUGAAGGAAUUCCUGGAGGGAGUUCAUCAGAACCAGUCACAGGAUACAAGUGCAUUUGUAAAAUAUUCUGCUGGUAAUAUGUGAAUCCUCCUGUCACAACAGAAGCCCAGGAUGUUAGUGUGGAAAAACAGCAGGAGGAGGGUCCGUCACAUUCUGCUGCACAGAUGCACACAGUUCAGUGAUGUUCAGUAAAUGCCAGAGUUCAAUUCUGUAAGAGUAAUAAGGAACUAUGUCAUGUAACUCUAAAUCUUCUGUAUGUCCAGUCACUGGUUAAGGAGUUGUAUAAAUCUCAAGGAAAUGUUACUUGGACCGCCAGAUUGAAAAGACAGAUCUAGAAAUUGAAAUUCUCAAACAAAAGCUGGAGGUGAGUGUUUAGUUAAAGAUGAAUUGUAUGAAUUAUUGGAAGAACCAUAAAAUCUAACAAUUGCCUCUGUAUUUGUAGGAAAUGAAGGAAACCAAAUAAAUUAUGAUUUGCAUUUAUUCAGUUCCUUUCAUUGGUGGUGGUGAUGGUUGAUUAGAACACACUGUCCAUCCACUCUGCAGAUUACAAUGAUGGAAGGAGUCUUCCUCAGGGUCUUGUAUUUGUAGGGCAAUAAUUGCAAUAUUGUGGAGAACAACACAUGUUACUCUCAUUUCAGGGUUAACAAACUUCAACGACAUCUCCUUCUUGAAACGGGCCCCAGUUCAUAAUGCUUUACGCCUAUGAUUGUGCAAACCAAUCAAGUGUUUUUCCUUAUAUGGAAUUUUCUUGUCUGCAGUGGUGUAUGGUGCUUUCCUGUUUUAUUUUGUACAUAUCCGGUUUCUGUCACACCAUGUUUAGGUCCGCUCUUUCAGUCACAUUUCCCUCCAACAGUCAUCGAUCUAUAAAUAGUCCUAGUAUUUAGCCAUCAGUACUCACCUCAGUCAUCUCAAGCAUCUCUUGUUACCGAAGUCGUUGUUGUUGACUGUACUGUAGCCUUACCUGAUUACUCCGUUGCCUACCUGCCUGCCUCUGUGACUCUGUUUUGCUUGCUCCCUUGUGCCGCCGCCGAUCUGCCUCUGUACCAAACCUCGCCUGUAUCCUGACUAUAAGUGUCUAUUAAAUCCUUACCUUUUACCUGUCUGGGUCCUGUGCUGUGCAUGUGGGUUCGUCAGCUUAGAAACCACCACCGUGACGUUCUGUAGGUGACAGUGGUGGGAUUUGUAUUUAAAGUCCGAUGUAUAUAUUGUGAAUAGAAAAGGGGAGAGCACAGUCCCCUGAGGUGCCCCCGUGCUGCAGACUACCACAUCAGACACACAGUCCCUCACAAACUGUGGCCUGUCUGUGAGGUAGUUGAUGGUCCAAGCAGCCAGAUGUUUGCCAACGCCUGCCACCUCCAGCUUCCUCCUCAGCAGUGAUGGCUAGAUGGUGUUGAAAGCACUGGAGAAUUUAAAAAACAUGACCCUCACAGGAGACUCCAGGUGAGACAGGUAGAUGAUGGCAUCAUUCACCCUGAUGCCUGGUCGAUAGGCAAACUGCAGCAGGUCCAGUGCUGAGCUCACCUGGGAACGGAGGUGACUUAGGAAGGUGACAGGUCUGAAGUGGUUCAGCUCCUUAGGUCGGGCUACUAUUAGAACUACAACCAGGUAGGAAGUCCUCCAGGGUACUGGUACUCUCUCCAGGUUGAGGCUCAGGUUGAAUAUGGAGAGUUUCUUUUUUUCACUUUGUUUUUAUUUAUAUUUUGAAACAAAAACAACAACAGAAAAUAAUAUAACAAGGUAUCUGGAUAAUGUGCUACAUAUGUCAAUUGCCACUACUAUCAAUCAAUUUGAGUGCUAAAGUCACGUUGUCUGCUCUAUUGUAUAUCUUGUUCAUUGAUAUGAUAUUGAUAUUUUUUGUUCAUUUGUGUUUGUUGGAGUCUCACAACACCGGUCAGCCUUUCCAUAAGGUAGAUCUUCUCAACUGUCUGCUUCCACUUAUUUCUUUAAUAUACUCAAAUUUGACAGCAUUCGAUACCAAGAUAGCUACAACCCUUCUGUUUCUCUUAUUUUAUGAACUAUAGUUUACAUUGCUAAACCCAAUUCUUUUUUGUUUCUGGUGUUUACUCUGAUAGAGAUGAGUUUCUUAUAAAAAGGAGAUCUGUAUCUUUUCCCUUCUUAUUUUCGCUAUUACUCUUGCUUUUUUAAUUGGUAAAUUUAGGCUGUUUUCAUUGAGAGACAUUAUUUUGAACUAUAUGAACUAUUAGAACGUGAACAUGGUUUGGUUUCCACAUGGGAGACAUGCUUUUUCUCCCAUUUCCCCUGCUGGUGGGUGAAGGGCUGGUCAAUUGGUUAUUGACGUCCCUCCCUAGAGCCCAGCUCUACUGCUUGGCUGUCUAGUAAAGUCCGUGUUUUGCUAGUGCGAGUUUGUUCCGGUGCCCAGCCUUGCCCCGGACCUCCACCUGUUGUUACCCACAGUUUGUACCCUGCAGCAUAGUUUAGUUUGUUUUCUCAUCCAUGCCUGCAGUUAAAAUGUGUUUUAACUGCAGGCUGUCAGCUUUAAUUUGAAGGUAUUUACAUCCAAAUCCGGUGAAUGGUGUAGGAAUUACAGCCGUUUGCAUAUGUGCCUUGCACUUGUUGGGGGAUCAAAAGUAAUGGGACAAUAUAAUAAU
Betta splendens (Siamese fighting fish) is the source of this 5912-nucleotide long non-coding RNA. RefSeq lists it as uncharacterized. NCBI's taxonomy places the organism in Eukaryota, Metazoa, Chordata, Actinopteri, Anabantiformes, Osphronemidae. The record is from RefSeq and is a predicted model, not a curated record. The transcript has 4 exons.